AGGUAGUAAAAAUCUUUUAUUGAAACCUAUGCAUUAAUGGCGGCUUUUUCCUUAAUUAGAGGAACUUGCUUGUAUCGAUAAUCCCCGCUCAUUUUUACUAUUUUUAUAAGUCUGUAUACCGCCGUCAAAGAAAAUAUUAUAUAAUAUUUUCAAAACUACAUUAAACAAUUCAGGUCAAGGUGCAACCAAUAUAAUAGGAAAAGCAAGUUACACAUAUGUCUUAAAUUAUAGAUUCAUUUCGAAAGAAAUGAUGAAACAGGAUUUAAUUAUAAAAAUUUUUUAAUAUGAAAAUUUGAACUAAGAAAGAAAAGUGC
This 314-nucleotide ribosomal RNA is filed under the name Zaitunia beshkentica. Its description in RNAcentral is "partial 12S ribosomal RNA". The record is from RNAcentral. Lineage: Eukaryota; Metazoa; Arthropoda; Arachnida; Araneae; Filistatidae.